This is a long non-coding RNA of Heterocephalus glaber (naked mole-rat), 437 nucleotides long. Lineage: Eukaryota; Metazoa; Chordata; Mammalia; Rodentia; Bathyergidae. The record is from Ensembl.
GGAGCUUUCUGCACCAUGCACUUCUGCUAUAAUGUUCUUCCUUACUAUAGGCCUACAAGCAAUGGAGCCAGCUGACCAUGUACUGAAACUUCCAAAACGUGAGCAGAAUUUUGUCCAUCUUUUAAAGGAUAGCUUCCCCAUCUCUCGAUUGCUCUGGAGUGAUCCGUGGGCUAUAAAGGUACGGUCUACUCAAGAAAUGGUGAAAAUUUUCAUCGAAUUGAAGUCUCACUAAGGUUCAGUGGGUGGAAGUUCUGGAAAUGUUAGUUCUAACUAAACUGGCCUUUGUAGUCCAAAGUUUGUAGGGGCAAAAAUGAAUUUUGUUUAAAAUGGGAGAAUGACAUGCUCAGGUUGAAUUUUUAAGAAGAUAGCAUUAGUGGGAUGGAGUCACAGAUGGCAGGACAUUUCCACUGUCAGCAUAUUCUCCUCCUCUUUUCUAG